GACGAACGCUGGCGGCGCGCUUAACACAUGCAAGUCGAGCGAGAACCAGGCCUUCGGGCCUGGGGAAAGCGGCGAACGGGUGAGUAACACGUGGGUAACCCACCCUUGGUACCGGGAUAGCCCGAGGAAACUACGGAUUAAUACCGGAUGGCCCAACAGCUUUUCGGAGCGGUUGGAAAAGGUAGCUUCGGCCUCCGACCAAGGACGGGCCCGCGCGGAUUAGCUUGUUGGUGAGGUAACGGCCCACCAAGGCGACGAUCCGUAGC
RNAcentral lists this ribosomal RNA (266 nucleotides) under uncultured bacterium. Its description in RNAcentral is "partial 16S ribosomal RNA". It matches the Rfam family "Bacterial small subunit ribosomal RNA", at positions 28 to 287 of the family's 1533-position model. The record is from RNAcentral.